CCCGCUGAACUUAAGCAUAUCAAUAAGCGGAGGAAAAGAAACCAACAGGGAUUGCCUUAGUAACGGCGAGUGAAGCGGCAACAGCUCAAAUUUGAAAUCUGGCCUUAGGGCCCGAGUUGUAAUCUGCAGAGGAUGCUUCGGGAGAGGUGCCUUCCCAGUGCCCUGGAACGGGACGACAGAAGAGGGUGAGAGCCCCGUACAGCUGGACACUAACCCCAUGUCAAGCUCCUUCAACGAGUCGAGUAGAUUGGAAAUGCUGCUCAAAAUGGGAGGUAAAUUUCUUCUAAAGCUAAAUACCGGCCAGAGACCGAUAGCGCACAAGUAGAGUGAUCGAAAGAUGAAAAGCACUUUGAAAAGAGGGUUAAAAAGUACGUGAAAUUGUUGAAAGGGAAGCGCUUGCGACCAGACUCGCGCCCCGUGGAUCAUCCGGCGUUCUCGCCGGUGCACUCUGCGGGGCUCGGGCCAGCAUCGGUUCGCCCAGGGGGAUAAAAGCUCUGGGAAUGUAGCUCUCUUCGGGGAGUGUUAUACGCCCACUGCAGAAUACUCCUGGCGCGGACCGAGGAGCGCGCCCAGUGCAAGGAUGCUGGCGUAAUGGUCGUCAGCGACCCGUCUUGAAACACGG
Molecule: ribosomal RNA, 622 nt
Filed under: uncultured fungus
Lineage: Eukaryota; Fungi
Description: eukaryotic LSU rRNA
Rfam family: Eukaryotic large subunit ribosomal RNA
Source: RNAcentral